GAAAUUGUAAUACAGAUUCUCGGGUGUAUACGAAUGACUAUUCACUUAUGUAAUUAUAUUUAUUUAUACAUUAUACUUAUUGUAAUGGAGACGCAGGGAGUCAGGAAGCAGGUGGUGAGUUUAAUAUAAACGAACAUGGCACAAUACAAAACAAGACAUGAAUCUGACAGGAAAACAGAACCAAUACUGCCUGGACGCAAUUCAUGCUUCCCUUGGGACGAGGAGAGGAGGCUUUCUGCUAAACAAAAGCCUUUUAAUUUCUACCAUUUUUCACCAAGUGCCGCACUUCCAGAAGUCUUCAGACGGCCAGACAAAUGGGUUAGGACUUGAUGUGGUAAACCUUGAUGUUUAUUGUUACUGACUAAACUAUUGACAAAUUCUCUGAAACGACAUUGGAGUUGGCUUAUGGUAGAGAAAUUAACAUUAAGUUAUCUGGCAACAGCUCUGGUGGACAUUC
This is a long non-coding RNA of Coregonus clupeaformis (lake whitefish), 457 nucleotides long. RefSeq lists it as uncharacterized. NCBI's taxonomy places the organism in Eukaryota, Metazoa, Chordata, Actinopteri, Salmoniformes, Salmonidae. The transcript has 3 exons. The record is from RefSeq and is a predicted model, not a curated record.